This 510-nucleotide long non-coding RNA is filed under the name Rattus norvegicus (Norway rat). Its description in RNAcentral is "long non-coding RNA NONRATT023662". The record is from RNAcentral. Lineage: Eukaryota; Metazoa; Chordata; Mammalia; Rodentia; Muridae.
UUAAUCUAGAUCCGUGUCUCUCAAUCUUCCUGAUGCUUUGACCCUUUAAUACAGUUCCUCAUGCUAUGGUCACCUCAACCAUAUAUUUAUGUUCGUCAAUAUUUCAUGACUGUAAUUUUGCUACUGUCAUGCAUCGUUGUGUAAGUAUGUGUGUCUUCUGAUGGUCUUAGGUGUCCACAUGUCUCUUCCUCUUUUCUUCCUCCUCCUCCACCUUUUUCUUCUUUUCCCUUUUUGAAUCAGAGUCACAUGUAGUCCAGGUUGGCUUUGAACCAUCUAUUUAGCUGAGGAUCCUCAGGUUUCCGCGUCUGGAAUGCUGGCAUUAAAGGCCUGGCCAACCCGCUCCCGGCCCCCACCUCCCCAUACAGCAGCCAGGACCCAGUCCUGUGGCUUUACCCUGAUGGCAAAGUUUAAUCUCUGUCACAACCUCCACAAAGGCCCAUGGCUAAACUCUAUAGAGUUGGAUUGCGUCCAGCCUCUUCACCUCUUCCAAUGGAGAUUAAAUUUCAGAGC